Molecule: long non-coding RNA, 644 nt
Organism: Solanum lycopersicum (tomato)
Lineage: Eukaryota; Viridiplantae; Streptophyta; Magnoliopsida; Solanales; Solanaceae
Source: RefSeq, a predicted model, not a curated record
UUUUUGUCCAUUAUAUACAUCUUUUUUUUUUUUGCAAUUAUUUUGGAUAUUUCAUUCAAUUUGUCAAUAUGACAAAUACCAAAACCUACAAUGGGUAUAUUACAAAAUCAACAUCAAAAGAUGAAGAACAAGGUCAAUUGGAAUUAUAUUCACCAAAAUAUGCCCUAAAAGUUGAUAAUAAUAACCAAAAAAAGCCAAAUGAAGAAGGAGGUCAAAUGGAAUUAUACUCACCAAAACAUGCAAUAAAAGUGAAUAAUUCAAAGGUUAAGAAUGAAGGAGUAAAUGAGAAGAUAAACCAAAAUCAAGAAAUUGAAGAAAAAGAAAAGAAAAAAGUUGUUGCUACUAAUGGUGGUCCACUAGCCACACCUUUGCCAGUCAGACUCACUUCUAGAAUUUAAUCGAGGUCGAUCAGAAAUAAUUUCUUUAUUUUUAUAUAAAAAUAAAAAUAAAUAACGUUUUAUGUAUAAAUUUUUUUGUUCUUUUUUAGACACCAAUCAUGAAAGUAUAAUAUCUUUGCUAAACUCACUUCUAGAAUGUAAUCGAGAGUCUAUAAGUAUUCUCUUUAUAAAAAUAGAAAUAAAAUUUAUGUAUAUUUUAUUAUUUUUCGAAAGGAAUAUAGAAUUGGAGUUUCAUUGGUGUUUUUA